This 467-nucleotide ribosomal RNA is filed under the name uncultured bacterium. Its description in RNAcentral is "partial 16S ribosomal RNA". It matches the Rfam family "Bacterial small subunit ribosomal RNA", at positions 28 to 506 of the family's 1533-position model. The record is from RNAcentral.
GACGAACGCUGGCGGCGUGCUUAACACAUGCAAGUCGAACGGAAAGGCCCUGCUUUUGUGGGGUGCUCGAGUGGCGAACGGGUGAGUAACACGUGAGUAACCUGCCCUUGACUUUGGGAUAACUUCAGGAAGCUGGGGCUAAUACCGGAUAGGAGCUCCUGCUGCAUGGUGGGGGUUGGAAAGUUUCGGCGGUUGGGGAUGGACUCGCGGCUUAUCAGCUUGUUGGUGGGGUAGUGGCUUACCAAGGCUUUGACGGGUAGCCGGCCUGAGAGGGUGACCGGCCACAUUGGGACUGAGAUACGGCCCAGACUCCUACGGGAGGCAGCAGUGGGGAAUAUUGCACAAGGGGCGGAAGCCUGAUGCAGCAACGCCGCGUGGGGGAUGACGGCCUUCGGGUUGUAAACCUCUUUCGCCUGUGACGAAGCGUGGGUGACGGUAAUGGGUAAAGAAGCACCGGCUAACUACGU